GCUUUGACUGUAUCCUGGAAUUGGGUUCGGGCUUCUUCUUGCGCAGACUAGGUGGGAGGCAUUGAAGUACUCCUUGUCGGGGAGUAUGGAGCCAUACUUGAGAGACCACUCUGGAGAGGCUAGAAUUCUAACUGGUAGACUCCGUUGAAUCAGGACACUUGACAGUUUCAGGUGGGCAGUUUGUCUGGGGCGGAACGCUCAUAAAAGGUAACUGAGGCGCGCAAAGGUUCUCUCAGUCUGGACGGAAAUCAGACCAUACGAGUGUAAAGGCAUAAGGAGAGCUUGACUGCGAGACCUACAAGUCGAAGCAGGACGAAAGUCUGGUCUUAGUGAUCCGACGGCAUGAGCGUGUGGAAGCGCCGUCGCUCAACGAUAAAAGUUA
RNAcentral lists this ribosomal RNA (382 nucleotides) under uncultured alga. Its description in RNAcentral is "bacterial LSU rRNA". It matches the Rfam family "Bacterial large subunit ribosomal RNA", at positions 2098 to 2465 of the family's 2925-position model. The record is from RNAcentral.